Molecule: ribosomal RNA, 443 nt
Filed under: uncultured bacterium
Lineage: Bacteria
Description: partial 16S ribosomal RNA
Rfam family: Bacterial small subunit ribosomal RNA
Source: RNAcentral
CCUACGGGGGACAGCAGUGGGGAAUAUUGGGCAAUGGGCGCAAGCCUGACCCAGCAACGCCGCGUGAAGGAAGAAGGCUUUCGGGUUGUAAACUUCUUUUCUGCGGGACGACGCAAGUGACGGUACCUCAGGAAUAAGCCACGGCUAACUACGUGCCAGCAGCCGCGGUAAUACGUAGGUGGCAAGCGUUAUCCGGAUUUAGUGGGUGUAAAGGGCGUGUAGGCGGGAAAGCAAGUCAGAUGUGAAAACUCAGGGCUCAACCCUGAGCGUGCAUUUGAAACUGUUUGUCUUGAGUGCUGGAGAGGCAAUCGGAAUUCCGGGUGUAGCGGUGAAAUGCGUAGAUAUACGGAGGAACACCAGUGGCGAAGGCGGAUUGCUGGACAGUAACUGACGCUGAGGCGCGAAAGCGUGGGGAGCAAACAGGAUUAGAUACCCGGGUAGUC